This 348-nucleotide long non-coding RNA is filed under the name Homo sapiens (human). RNAcentral's name for it is "non-protein coding LINC01063:2". The record is from RNAcentral. Lineage: Eukaryota; Metazoa; Chordata; Mammalia; Primates; Hominidae.
GUUCUCCUUCCUGUGCCGAGUGUGGUUUGCUAUCAAGCGGUGGCAGUUCAGCCACAAUCAGGGGCAGGGGGAGGGAGAGGCCCCCCGAAGAGGCAGAGGCCCUGCCUCGGCCGCCCUGAGCCUGGAAGGUGAUUGGCUAGAGCGACUCCCGGCCGGGAGCGGAAUGAAUGGCGGGGACCGGGGCCUCUGGGUGGUGCGAGCAUCAUGUUGCCUUUUAAUAUGGAGCAUGUGCCAUAGCUCUCCAGGAGAACCCCUCUGUGUCACAGCGAACCUCAGUCACUGACACUCAAAAGAAGGAAUUAUUUCAACUCAAUAAUAAACAAAUAACCCUAUUUUAAAAUCAGCAAA